RNAcentral lists this ribosomal RNA (480 nucleotides) under uncultured bacterium. RNAcentral describes it as "partial 16S ribosomal RNA". It matches the Rfam family "Bacterial small subunit ribosomal RNA", at positions 28 to 507 of the family's 1533-position model. The record is from RNAcentral.
GACGAACGCUGGCGGCGUGCUUAACACAUGCAAGUCGACCGAUGAAGAAAAGAAUCGAAGCUUCGGCAGAAAUUCAUUUCGGAUUAGUGGCAGACGGGUGAUUACCGCGUGAUAAACUUACCUCUUACAAAGGGAUAGCCCCGGGAACCCGGGUUUAAUCCCAUAUAACAUUCCGACUAAUUAUUUCGAUGCAAUCAAAGCUACGGCGGUAAGAGAUGGGCUCGCGUCCCAUUAACCGGAUGGUGAGGUAACGGCUCACCAUAGUGACGAUGGGUAACCGGACUGAGAGGGUGAACGGUCACACUGGAACUGAGACACGGUCCAGACUCCUACGGGAGGCAGCAGUGGGGAAUAUUGCACAAUGGAGGGAACUCUGAUGCAGCGACGCCGCGUGAGUGAUGAAGGAAUUCGUUUCGUAAAACUCUGUUCUAUGGGAAGAAAAGGACUGUACCAUAGGAGAAAGCUCCGGCUAAAUACGUG